RNAcentral lists this long non-coding RNA (422 nucleotides) under Homo sapiens (human). Its description in RNAcentral is "HSALNT0064350". The record is from RNAcentral. Lineage: Eukaryota; Metazoa; Chordata; Mammalia; Primates; Hominidae.
UGAGGACAUACCAGGAAAGCACCAUUUUUGAAGCCCACGGUGAUCAAAUAUUUAUCCCACAUUUGAAAUCAAAUCUGCUGAUGCCUUAAUCUUGGACUUCCCAGCUUCAGAACUAGACACUUAUGGGACAGUUAAGAGCUUGGCAAGUAUCAGAAGGCCAGGAAAGAGUCUUUCUUCAUUGAAGGUCUCUGAUAAUGCCAGUGGAGUCUUGGAAUAUGGAACUUCCUCUGAAAUAUGAGAAAACCAAGGGAAAGCAGUGAAAUAAGAGAAACUGCCAUGUGUUCUCAAUAACACAAGGAAAGUGAAGUGAAUAUAAAGUGGAACUUGUUAUAAGUGUUUGUAGUUUAUUUGCUCCCCCACCCCAAGGGUCCAAUUGUACUAUUUUCAGAAACAUACCUAAAGCAAAUAUGCUAAAUCUCCAG